Molecule: ribosomal RNA, 460 nt
Filed under: uncultured bacterium
Lineage: Bacteria
Description: partial 16S ribosomal RNA
Rfam family: Bacterial small subunit ribosomal RNA
Source: RNAcentral
CCUACGAGUGGCAGCAGUGAGGAAUAUUGGUCAAUGGACGAGAGUCUGAACCAGCCAAGUAGCGUGAAGGAUGACUGCCCUAUGGGUUGUAAACUUCUUUUAUAUGGGAAUAAAUUGUUCCACGUGUGGGAUUUUGUAUGUACCAUAUGAAUUAGGAUCGGCUAACUCCGUGCCAGCAGCCGCGGUAAUACGGAGGUUGCGAGCGUUAUCCGGAUUUAUUGGGUUUAAAGGGAGCGUAGGUGGAUUGUUAAGUUAGUUGUGAAAGUUUGCGGCUCAACCGUAAAAAUGCAGUUGAAACUGGCAGUCUUGAGUACAGUAGAGGUGGGCGGAAUUCGUGGUGUAGCGGUGAAAUGCUUAGAUAUCACGAAGAACUCCGAUUGCGAAGGCAGUUCACUGGACUGCAACUGACACUGAGGCACGAAGGUGUGGGUAUCAAACAGGAUUAGAUACCCCAGUAGUC